GGAACUACUUGGCAGGCUCUUACAGCCAGAACUUGCUGGUGGUUUGACCACAUGCGUGCUCAACAUGUUUCUACAACACGCUGAAGAAACCAUGACACCCAUCCAUCUUCUAACCACCUGUCUAGAGGCUUCACAACUGGCUCACAAGGCAAAGGAAGACUGGAAAAUCAGCAGUGAUUGGCUCCUGAGGACCCCGAUUUGAACAGCCCUGAUGAUAGGUUCCAGGCUCACCAAAUCACUGCACUGGCUAAGUGGCUGUGGAAAGUGGAUGUAUGGGUUUGUAAUAUACCUCAAAGCUAAACAUCUGACCAGUUCUAUUUAAGUCAGACUGUGAUGUGAUUGUGAUGUCUAACUAAACUCAACAUCCAUUUUAUGAUUUAAAUGGUGAUUUUUAUCAUUUUUAUAAUAACGACCAUGUCAUCUUCUUGUUUACGUUUGGUUAAACUUGUCGCAGGGCUGCAUGCACCUGGGAUCACCCAGGGCAGGAAUGAUGCAUCCUACCACACCAUAAGCUCCUGCGGGUUGGCUGAGAGCCACCUGGCUCAGGAGAUGCUGGAGUGGCGUUCGGCUAGUGCCACUCUGCUGAAGCUCUGUUCAUGCCAUGCUUCAGAGAGCAAGCAAGGGACGUGGCUUCACCUGAACUGAGGUGAACCAAUGGCCAGGUUCAGCAACCGGUUCUUCUCUGAGGCUGUGAGGACACUAAAUAUCCUGCUGCCCACCUGACCCCCCCCACCCCCUGUUUCGGAGAAUACUCAU
This is a long non-coding RNA of Brienomyrus brachyistius, 756 nucleotides long. RefSeq lists it as uncharacterized. The transcript has 3 exons. The record is from RefSeq and is a predicted model, not a curated record. NCBI's taxonomy places the organism in Eukaryota, Metazoa, Chordata, Actinopteri, Osteoglossiformes, Mormyridae.